GGAGGAGAAGGAACUAAAUAGGAUUCCCUCAGUAAUGGCGAAUGAACAGGGAUGAGCUCAGGCUGGAAGCCGAUACAUUUGUGUCGGGCUGUAGCCUGCAGGCAUAGCGCUAUCGGCGGCUCGAGCGCAAGCCUCUUGGAAUAGAGCGUGUGCCCGGGUGAGAAUCCUGCAUUUCGCUCGAUGUCCGCUGUCCACAGUGCUUGUCCUGAGAGUCACGCUCCUCGGAAUUGGAGCGUAAAUCAGGUGGUAAGUUUCAUCCAAAGCUAAAUAGAAGCUCGAGACCAAUAGCAAACAAGUACCAUGAGGGAAAGAUGAAAAGGACUUUGGAAAGAGAGUUAAAAGUGUUUGAAAUUGCUGAGAGCGAAGCGAACGGAGCCACAUGUCGUGCUGAGAUUGCUGUGGGUCUUUGUGAGCCUUGAGCAUGUAAGCGCAAGCUGACUGCUUAUGUGUGAGCAUUUGCCCGCAGUGUUUCUCAGCAUGCGAGUCAUUAGCCACAUUUGUUUGAGGAUGGCCUUCAGCUCACAUGGUACACUUGUUAGUGUUCCUCUGCGCGGUGUGGGACUCAGACAGGUGUGGCUUGUUGACCCAGUGGUUUUUUUCGACCCGUCUUGAAACACGACCAAGGAGUC
This 629-nucleotide ribosomal RNA is filed under the name Symbiodinium sp. type B. RNAcentral's name for it is "eukaryotic LSU rRNA". It matches the Rfam family "Eukaryotic large subunit ribosomal RNA", at positions 52 to 675 of the family's 3401-position model. Lineage: Eukaryota; Dinophyceae; Suessiales; Symbiodiniaceae. The record is from RNAcentral.